Molecule: long non-coding RNA, 752 nt
Organism: Rhodamnia argentea
Lineage: Eukaryota; Viridiplantae; Streptophyta; Magnoliopsida; Myrtales; Myrtaceae
Exons: 2
Source: RefSeq, a predicted model, not a curated record
CAUGCAAAUCCGAGGACCGUGCUAAGAAUUGUCAGAUCUUGUGAUGAGUCAAUUAUUUCAGAGGACUCUACAUCUUCUGGUGGAAGUGAAUUGACGUAAAGCAGUCACUUCAUGAAUCACCCAUCAAUUAAAUUCUCCGAGAGGCAUGGAAUCUGGAAUUGUUCUAACACAAUGUUAGAUGGUGAGGGAGUAGUUCAUUUAAAAUAAGGUGAACUUCGACUUCAGGAUGAGCUCAUAGUCUAUGCCCCUUUUGUGUUGUGGUGCUCAUGUGGAAUUCAAAUUUUAAUGGGGAGUACUGUGGUUACUGGAAAAGAACAAAAGAAAAAAAAUGCAUGGUACGGUGGCAGCAACCAGUGUGCAGGAGACAACUAGUUGUGCAGCAGCAUUGGUGUAAUGCUACAGCUAGCUGCUGAUAGUGUGAAAUGUGAAUGUGAACCAGAACCUUGCAGCUUAGCAGCUUACUAGAUGUUAUUCCUUAUCCUUUAUGAAAGCUAAUGAGGGACGAGCAGAAGGGUCUCUAUUCUCUUCUUACUCUGUGCUUCAACGUGUUGCUGCAUGAUCGCAAUUUUCUCUUGAGUGAUAUCACUAGAACGAUAGGGGGCUGCCUUUUGCCAAUUUUUAUUGCCAUUUUGCUGUUUUGCCUUUGCCUCUUUCCUACUAUGGAAGUUUUCUUUGUGCUUUAGCAUGAAGUUCUUUCUGAUAACGUGGGAUGUGCUUUCUUUUGUGUUCUAAGUGUGCCCAAGCAACCAAAA